RNAcentral lists this ribosomal RNA (241 nucleotides) under uncultured bacterium. RNAcentral describes it as "partial 16S ribosomal RNA". It matches the Rfam family "Bacterial small subunit ribosomal RNA", at positions 524 to 768 of the family's 1533-position model. The record is from RNAcentral.
UACGUAGGUGGCGAGCGUUGUCCGGGAUUAUUGGGCGUAAAGCGCGCGCAGGUCGGGAAAGUAAGUCUACUCUAAAAGUGCGGGCUCAACCCCGUGAUGGGUGGAAACUGCUUUCUUGAGUGCCGGAGAGGAAAGCGGAAUUCCCAGUGUAGCGGUGAAAUGCGUAGAUAUAGGAGGAACACCAGUGGCGAAGGCGACUACCUGGACUGAUACUGACACUGAGGUGCGAAAGCGUGGGGAG